This 2077-nucleotide ribosomal RNA is filed under the name Salmonella enterica. RNAcentral describes it as "partial 23S ribosomal RNA". It matches the Rfam family "Bacterial large subunit ribosomal RNA", at positions 745 to 2803 of the family's 2925-position model. The record is from RNAcentral. Lineage: Bacteria; Pseudomonadati; Pseudomonadota; Gammaproteobacteria; Enterobacterales; Enterobacteriaceae.
UUGAAGGUUGGGUAACACUAACUGGAGGACCGAACCGACUAAUGUUGAAAAAUUAGCGGAUGACCUGUGGCUGGGGGUGAAAGGCCAAUCAAACCGGGAGAUAGCUGGUUCUCCCCGAAAGCUAUUUAGGUAGCGCCUCGUGAAUUCAUCUCCGGGGGUAGAGCACUGUUUCGGCUAGGGGGCCAUCCCGGCUUACCAACCCGAUGCAAACUGCGAAUACCGGAGAAUGUUAUCACGGGAGACACACGGCGGGUGCUAACGUCCGUCGUGAAGAGGGAAACAACCCAGACCGCCAGCUAAGGUCCCAAAGUCAUGGUUAAGUGGGAAACGAUGUGGGAAGGCCCAGACAGCCAGGAUGUUGGCUUAGAAGCAGCCAUCAUUUAAAGAAAGCGUAAUAGCUCACUGGUCGAGUCGGCCUGCGCGGAAGAUGUAACGGGGCUAAACCAUGCACCGAAGCUGCGGCAGCGACACUGUGUGUUGUUGGGUAGGGGAGCGUUCUGUAAGCCUGUGAAGGUGUGUCGUGAGGCAUGCUGGAGGUAUCAGAAGUGCGAAUGCUGACAUAAGUAACGAUAAAGCGGGUGAAAAGCCCGCUCGCCGGAAGACCAAGGGUUCCUGUCCAACGUUAAUCGGGGCAGGGUGAGUCGACCCCUAAGGCGAGGCCGAAAGGCGUAGUCGAUGGGAAACGGGUUAAUAUUCCCGUACUUGGUGUUACUGCGAAGGGGGGACGGAGAAGGCUAUGUUGGCCGGGCGACGGUUGUCCCGGUUUAAGCGUGUAGGUGUGUGUUCCAGGUAAAUCCGGUUCACUUUAACACUGAGGCGUGACGACGAGGCACUACGGUGCUGAAGCAACAAAUGCCCUGCUUCCAGGAAAAGCCUCUAAGCAUCAGGUAACAUCAAAUCGUACCCCAAACCGACACAGGUGGUCAGGUAGAGAAUACCAAGGCGCUUGAGAGAACUCGGGUGAAGGAACUAGGCAAAAUGGUGCCGUAACUUCGGGAGAAGGCACGCUGACACGUAGGUGAAGUGAUUUACUCAUGGAGCUGAAGUCAGUCGAAGAUACCAGCUGGCUGCAACUGUUUAUUAAAAACACAGCACUGUGCAAACACGAAAGUGGACGUAUACGGUGUGACGCCUGCCCGGUGCCGGAAGGUUAAUUGAUGGGGUCAGCGCAAGCGAAGCUCCUGAUCGAAGCCCCGGUAAACGGCGGCCGUAACUAUAACGGUCCUAAGGUAGCGAAAUUCCUUGUCGGGUAAGUUCCGACCUGCACGAAUGGCGUAAUGAUGGCCAGGCUGUCUCCACCCGAGACUCAGUGAAAUUGAACUCGCUGUGAAGAUGCAGUGUACCCGCGGCAAGACGGAAAGACCCCGUGAACCUUUACUAUAGCUUGACACUGAACAUUGAGCCUUGAUGUGUAGGAUAGGUGGGAGGCUUUGAAGUGUGGACGCCAGUCUGCAUGGAGCCGACCUUGAAAUACCACCCUUUAAUGUUUGAUGUUCUAACGUGGACCCGUGAUCCGGGUUGCGGACAGUGUCUGGUGGGUAGUUUGACUGGGGCGGUCUCCUCCUAAAGAGUAACGGAGGAGCACGAAGGUUGGCUAAUCCUGGUCGGACAUCAGGAGGUUAGUGCAAUGGCAUAAGCCAGCUUGACUGCGAGCGUGACGGCGCGAGCAGGUGCGAAAGCAGGUCAUAGUGAUCCGGUGGUUCUGAAUGGAAGGGCCAUCGCUCAACGGAUAAAAGGUACUCCGGGGAUAACAGGCUGAUACCGCCCAAGAGUUCAUAUCGACGGCGGUGUUUGGCACCUCGAUGUCGGCUCAUCACAUCCUGGGGCUGAAGUAGGUCCCAAGGGUAUGGCUGUUCGCCAUUUAAAGUGGUACGCGAGCUGGGUUUAGAACGUCGUGAGACAGUUCGGUCCCUAUCUGCCGUGGGCGCUGGAGAACUGAGGGGGGCUGCUCCUAGUACGAGAGGACCGGAGUGGACGCAUCACUGGUGUUCGGGUUGUCAUGCCAAUGGCACUGCCCGGUAGCUAAAUGCGGAAGAGAUAAGUGCUGAAAGCAUCUAAGCACGAAACUUGCCCCGAG